GGCGGCCGCGGUAAUUCCAGCUCCAAUAGCGUAUAUUAAAGUUGUUGCAGUUAAAAGCUCGUAGUUGAAUUUCGGGAUCAAUACGUCGGUCGUGCUUCGGUACGUACUGGCGUAAUUGAUUUCUCCCUUCUGACGAACCAUGAUGUCAUUAACUUGGUGUCAUGGGAAAUCAGGACUGUUACUUUGAAAAAUUAGAGUGUUUAAAGCAGGCUCACGCUUGAAUACAUUAGCAUGGAAUAAUGAAAUAAGACGUUCGAUCCUAUUUUGUUGGUUUUUAGGAUCAACGUAAUGAUUAAUAGGGAUAGUUGGGGGCAUUAGUAUUCAAUUGUCAGAGGUGAAAUUCUUGGAUUUAUUGAAGACUAACUACUGCGAAAGCAUUUGCCAAGGAUGUUUUCAUUAAUCAAGAACGAAAGUUAGGGAUCGAAGACGAUCAGAUACCGUCGUAGUCUUAACCAUAAACUAUGCCGACUAGGGAUCGGAUGAUGUUAAUUUUUAAUGUACUCAUUCGGCGCCUUACGGG
RNAcentral lists this unclassified non-coding RNA (520 nucleotides) under uncultured Glomus. RNAcentral's name for it is "SSU rRNA". It matches the Rfam family "Eukaryotic small subunit ribosomal RNA", at positions 569 to 1094 of the family's 1831-position model. The record is from RNAcentral. Lineage: Eukaryota; Fungi; Glomeromycota; Glomeromycetes; Glomerales; Glomeraceae.